RNAcentral lists this ribosomal RNA (321 nucleotides) under uncultured eukaryote. RNAcentral's name for it is "partial 18S ribosomal RNA". It matches the Rfam family "Eukaryotic small subunit ribosomal RNA", at positions 1470 to 1796 of the family's 1831-position model. The record is from RNAcentral.
CCCUUAGAUGUUCUGGGCCGCACGCGCGCUACACUGAAUGGAUCAACGUGUUUUCCCUUCCCGAGAGGGACGGGUAACCCGCUGAACCCCAUUCGUGGUAGGGAUCGGAGCUUGCAAUUGUUCUCCGUGAACCAGGAAUUCCCAGUAAGCGCAAGUCAUAAGCUUGCGUUGAUUACGUCCCUGCCCUUUGUACACACCGCCCGUCGCUACUACCGAUGGGGUGAUCCGGUGAAUGAUUCGGACUUCCGCAGUGCUAGCUACUAGCUUUGUGGAAGAAAGUCUUGUGAACCUUAUCACUUGGAGGAAGGAGAAGUCGUAACA